This 322-nucleotide ribosomal RNA is filed under the name Pseudomonas aeruginosa. RNAcentral describes it as "partial 23S ribosomal RNA". It matches the Rfam family "Bacterial large subunit ribosomal RNA", at positions 1053 to 1381 of the family's 2925-position model. The record is from RNAcentral. Lineage: Bacteria; Pseudomonadati; Pseudomonadota; Gammaproteobacteria; Pseudomonadales; Pseudomonadaceae.
UGUAAGUUAAGUGGAAAAGGAUGUGGAGCUGCAUAGACAACUAGGAUGUUGGCUUAGAAGCAGCCACUCAUUCAAAGAGUGCGUAAUAGCUCACUAGUCGAGUGGCUCUGCGCCGAAGAUAAACGGGGCUCAAAUCUGUAACCGAAGCUUAGGAUAUCUAUUGAUAUGGUAGAGGAGCAUCGUAUGCCGGGCUGAAGCUGUUCUGUAAGGAAUGGUGGACUGCAUACGAGAGAGAAUGUUGGCAUGAGUAGCGUAAGGCAGGUGAGAAUCCUGUCCGCCGAAAAUCUAAGGUUUCCUGAGGAAGGUUCGUCCUCUCAGGGUG